UCUUCGGAGCACCGGCGGACGGCUCAGUAACACGUGGACAACCUACCCUCGGGUGGGGGAUAACCUCGGGAAACUGAGGCUAAUACCCCAUAGACCUCGGAUACUGGAAGGUUCCGAGGCCGAAAGCUCCGGCGCCCGAGGAUGGGUCUGCGACCUAUCAGGUAGUUGGUGGUGUAAAGGACCACCAAGCCUGCGACGGGUACGGGCCCUGAGAGGGGGAGCCCGGAGAUGGACUCUGAGACACGAGUCCAGGCCCUACGGGGCGCAGCAGGCGCGAAACCUUCGCAAUGUGCGAAAGCGCGACGAGGGGAGCCCGAGUGCCCUUCCUUCGGGGAGGGCUUUUCUGGAGCCUAAAAAGCUCCAGGAAUAAGGGCUGGGCAAGACGGGUGCCAGCCGCCGCGGUAAUACCCGCAGCUCAAGUGGUGGCCGCUUUUAUUGAGCCUAAAGCGUCCGUAGCCGGACCCGUAAAUCCCUGGGUAAAUCCUGGCGCUCAACGUCAGGAAUUCCGGGGAGACUGCGGGUCUUGGGACCGGGAGAGGCUGGAGGUACUCUCGGGGUAGCGGUGAAAUGCUGUAAUCCUGGGGGGACCACCUGUGGCGAAAGCGUCCAGCUUGAACGGCUCCGACGGUGAGGGACGAAG
RNAcentral lists this ribosomal RNA (640 nucleotides) under uncultured archaeon. RNAcentral describes it as "bacterial SSU rRNA". It matches the Rfam family "Archaeal small subunit ribosomal RNA", at positions 67 to 709 of the family's 1478-position model. The record is from RNAcentral.